Molecule: long non-coding RNA, 2387 nt
Organism: Topomyia yanbarensis
Lineage: Eukaryota; Metazoa; Arthropoda; Insecta; Diptera; Culicidae
Exons: 3
Source: RefSeq, a predicted model, not a curated record
GAAACUUGGUGGAACGAUCUGACGAAAAAGUGUGCGAGUUAUUUACUGCUGGUUACCGCUACAUUGGGUCACCCCUCGGGAAAGAUGAAAACAAAAUUUCUCGGGCAACACUGAUGGAAAUCAACAAACAAGUUUGCAGACAAAUCACAUGGUAACGUCAUGUUAAAAGGCAAUGCACGAAAAAGUGAUAUUUUUUCCUCAAAACAAACGGUACAAUAAACGCUGAGUACAUUUAUUUUGGGUUUGCAGUUCGCCGUGACCUGAAUCGGUUUGCUAAAGUGGAACAAUCUAGCAUCAUGUUCUGCGGGGACAAAAUCUCGCUGAUGGAGGAAAUUGUGGAUCUUGGACUCACCAUGGACAUUAAUCUCACCUGGUCACACCAGGUUUUCCGUUGUUUUGAUGGUGUCAAUACACAAAAAGCUUGUAUGCUUUUUAUAUAAAGCGAUGUGAUCUACUACCCAGGAUUAAACUCAUCCUAAAAUUCGUUUACGAUCUACGUCCUAGAGAUACAACUGCCACCGUGGUCUCCUAAGGCACGACCUUUCGACGAUCUUAUUUUAUAUGGUGCAUAGUAGCAAGAACUUCCUGACCACCUCCUGAAUCUAUAGAAACAUGAAUCGCUCCUGUUCCUUCACCAUCUCGCUACAUACUCGCGAAAGAGCGUGCUAGUAUACGACGCAUCACUGUGAAAUGCCCCCCCCCCCCUCUCGACUAAAACGAAAUCACCCGUCCCCCUUGAAAGCUACCUAAGAAGAUUUUAUUAAACUGUAACUAAAUAGUGGUUUGUGGUUUUGAGAUUUUCUUCUCAUUAUUAAGGGCCGAUUUAUUCAUUCUCAUUUAAUUUUUAUAACUGGUUUAACGCACCACACUAAAUUUGGUAUAAAAGUUGAGCGAGGUUGAUGAAAUCAGGCCUAAAACAUGGAUUUUCCUUGAUCUAAAUUGACACAUGGAUUCUCAGUCGCCAAAUGUACCAAGUUCGGGACAGGAUGUUCUACUUCCUGAUUAUAGUCACGGUUAUGUGCCCGCAUCCAGCUAAACAGUUUACAUCCAGUGAUCAUUACGGCAUCAGCUGUUUUGUUCCAUGAAGUGUUAUAAUAUAGCGGAGGACUAUUUAGGCGAUUGAAUAUAAUGGACAAUAUAUACGUGUAUUUGGUUUUGAUAAUUCAUGAACUCAUCAGAAACAUUCUUAACGCCUAGCGUGUACUAGUAGUUACUAGACAAUUUUCCAACUUCAUCAGCAAAAAAUAAAACCAAAAAUCAAUCUCGCCCAUACGAAGUUUUUAUUCCUUAUUAUUUCUCUUCCUUUUCUUGUCCGCCCAUCAAUUAGCAUAAUGUUCUCCUGCUCGGUUUAGCCAGUACACUGGACAGUUAUCCAGCUCUGUUUUCGACGCUACGUUUUGCAGAGCUAGAAGCAACCUUUGAACUUUAGACUUUAGAAUCGGUACUUUUCAAGUUUUAGGUUACACAGCGCUCGCAGUAAUAAAUCACUGGAUAAUAUUGUGCCGGAGAGUGUUAGAGUACCACGUACUGAGAACGAUACGAAAAUUCUUGUUUAAUGUACAUGGAUUCGUUGUGAUUGACAAAAUUAUAUUCUGAAAUCAACUUAUUUGGAUUACAUUCAUCAAAAACAGAUAUUUCAUAUCUUUAAUUUUUAGGGCAAAGGCGGAAUCGUUUCCAGGUACCCAGUAAGUCCAGACAGAAAAUGAGCGGCCAUGUCACUGGAGCCAGAGCCAGCCAUAUUUCCGGUUCAUUUACUGACUGACUUUACUGAGUAGACAACAGAAUGGCCCUUUCCAUAUCAGUCGGUGGCGCAAAAAAUACAGAGGUGAAAAAUUGUUCAAAUGACUUAAAUGUAUUAGCUAUAGUUAUACAUCAGCGAAAAAAAAGCUCAAAUGACGAAGUAUCCAUGAAAUAAUGAAGCAGAUCCGGGCGGAACAAUUAUUGGGUGGUGAGUUGACACGGGAAGUAGUUCAGUUCGUUGUGGAAAAAUUUUCGUCACUUGGUGAAUUGUGAAAACAGUACGAGCUGGCGAUCUACUACGAGUUCGUUUUUCGAUAUGCAUAACACUAAGUAACGGAUAUUAGUAAUUCGAUUAUAAUUAAAAAUCAUACCGUGAUGCCUGUUUCCAAAAACCGUUGAUUGUAUCUAAAUAAUAAAAUCUCGCGAGCGGUAAUAUUGAUCACAUCGAAAGCUCUCAUUUGACACCUGAAUACGCAAUCAUCACGCAAAUUUAUUUUCUGCCCUGGUUUUUGGUAUUGUUUCAUGUAGCAUUCGUCGCCAAAAAGGACACAAAAUCAGCUUCCGUAUGACCAAAGCCGUUACAUAGUAACAAUUGUACUGGAUAAUGGUUUUCUAGCAGCUACCACGACAGCAAAAUCCUUAAAUAA